This 484-nucleotide ribosomal RNA is filed under the name uncultured bacterium. RNAcentral describes it as "partial 16S ribosomal RNA". It matches the Rfam family "Bacterial small subunit ribosomal RNA", at positions 30 to 507 of the family's 1533-position model. The record is from RNAcentral.
AUUGAACGCUGGCGGAAUGCUUUACACAUGCAAGUCGAACGGCAGCACGGGGACAGCCCUGGUGUCGAGUGGCGAACGGGCGAGUAAUACAUCCGAACGUGCCCGGUCUUGGGGGCUAACGUAGCGUAAGUUACGCUAAUAUCGCAUACGAUCAUAUGUUGAAAGCGGUGGACCUUCGGGCAUCGCGCGUUUGGCGCGCCCGUUGUCAGAUUAGCUAGUUGGUUGGGUAAAGGCUUACCAAGCCGACGAUCCAUAGCUGGUCUGAGAGGACGACCUGCCACACUGGAACUGAGACACGGCCCAGACUCCUACGGGAGGCAGCAGUGGGGAAUCUUGGGCAAUGGGCGAAAGCCUGACGCAGCCACGCCGCGUGCGGGACGAAGGCCUUCGGGUUGUAAAAUGCUUUUGUUCGGGACGAAAAGGUGCGGGAGAAUCCCUGGAGAUCAUGACGGUACCGAAAGAAUAAGCACCGGCUAACUACGUG